RNAcentral lists this transfer RNA (71 nucleotides) under Bos taurus (domestic cattle). It matches the Rfam family "tRNA". From Rfam's summary of the family: Transfer RNA (tRNA) molecules are approximately 80 nucleotides in length. Their secondary structure includes four short double-helical elements and three loops (D, anti-codon, and T loops). Lineage: Eukaryota; Metazoa; Chordata; Mammalia; Artiodactyla; Bovidae. The record is from Rfam by way of RNAcentral. RNAcentral also lists the same sequence under 4 other names.
UCCCUCGUGGCUCAGAGGUAAAGAAUCUGCCUGUGAUGCAGGGGACCCAGGUUCGAUCCCUGGAUCGGGAG